RNAcentral lists this ribosomal RNA (468 nucleotides) under uncultured bacterium. Its description in RNAcentral is "partial 16S ribosomal RNA". It matches the Rfam family "Bacterial small subunit ribosomal RNA", at positions 28 to 507 of the family's 1533-position model. The record is from RNAcentral.
GACGAACGCUGGCGGCGUGCUUAACACAUGCAAGUCGAACGGAAAGGCCCUGCUUUUGUGGGGUGCUCGAGUGGCGAACGGGUGAGUAACACGUGAGUAACCUGCCCUUGACUUUGGGAUAACUUCAGGAAACUGGGGCUAAUACCGGAUAGGAGCUCCUGCUGCAUGGUGGGGGUUGGAAAGUUUCGGCGGUUGGGGAUGGACUCGCGGCUUAUCAGCCUGUUGGUGGGGUAGUGGCUUACCAAGGCUUUGACGGGUAGCCGGCCUGAGAGGGUGACCGGCCACAUUGGGACUGAGAUACGGCCCAGACUCCUACGGGAGGCAGAAGUGGGGGAUAGUGCACAAUGGGCGGAAGCCUGAUGCAGCAACGCCGCGUGCUGGAUGACGGCCUUCGGGUUGUAAACCGCUUUCGCCUGUGACGAAGCGUGAGUGACGGUAAUGGGUAAAGAAGCACCGGCUAACUACGUG